ACAAAGCAAAACUUAGUAACAAAACGUAAUUUCAUUGUGAACUUUAAAAUCGUAACCCAAUAUGAAUGCAAGCUACUUUCGUUUGUUUUGAUAAUUGCUAACAAAUUUUAAUUUCUUUCCUGACUCCCUUGCGGGUGUAAUUUCCAAAAAUUCUGAAGUUUAUGUUUCUUCAUUUUUAGUCGAAUGCCCAAAUAUCAAUUCUUAUGGGCUAUAACUUUUUUAUUUAAUCCCCUUGGGGGCGGAACAUAUUUGAAACACUCCUUUUUUCUUUCAUGGAUAUAGGUUCAAAAAUGAUGGACUUUUAUAUUGAACCCCCCUUGGGGGUGGAAUUUUUAAAAUUCGUAUAAAGGCCUAAUAAGCCCAACUACCAAUUUGCGUAGAUAAUAUAUCACUCAAAUUACCAAACCUCGUAACUCCACUUUUGUUUAAAAAUUGUUCAACCAAAAAAAAAAUACUGCACACAAUGGUGACAACAUAGUGACUGCACAUAUUAUUUUAAUACUCGUACUAUGACUACUAUUACCAGGAUAGCAAACCUUUUUACUCCAUUAGUUCUACACAGCACAAUAUCACGUCAUUUAUUACCUUGUAACUGCUGCACUCGGCUGCGGAAAUAUAUUUCAACUUGUUGAAGAUACUCGUAUCUCUCUAUUUAUUUAUUUAUUUGUUUAUUUAUUCAUUUAUAUUCCAAAAAAAAUUUAAAAAUGAAGUACAAAAGAAAACAAAUUAUUACUGAAGCUUAUUGUCAAUGUUUGGAUAAGUAUUUACAUACCACAAAUAUUUUAAAAGAUUGUAUCUUGUGUAAAUUUUUUUAAAUGUAUUUUAAAUUUUUUGUAAAACUUGUGUUUUUGCAGUUACGGGGUUUGAUAAUUAACGUGAGGAUGUGUUAAUGCGUAAAAGAAAGGCUAUUUAAAACAACACAAAAAAAAAAACUUACCGAGUGGUCCGUCAAAGUGCAGAUCGAUGUAAGAAGGAAGAAGUAAGGAAAGAGGAAGAAUAGGAAAAAAAAGAGAACCUUGACGGUACGGCACAAUUAAAUUAACGAUUAAUAAAUGCACUGUAAAAUGCGGCGUGUGGCUGCCACCCGAUCGCUUCUCGACUACUACUACUACUCUUAUCUCUUAGUAAAGAUUACAAAAACCCCUAAAUGAAAAGAGGCGCUAACAUUCCCCCCGACCGUUAAGGAAUGAAGUUAACUAAAACCAAAUUAUCAACUAAAGAAAAGAAAGAUAAGUUCCCUUCCGCAUAAUAAUAAUAAAUAUUAAAUUAAAUUAAACUGCAAGUAAUUGCAUCCACCCAAAGAACAAAUAACUAAAAACAAAAUUAUAGGAUCAAAACGAUCACUGAUUUGGAAGGGGACAUAGACGAACUAUAGGUCGUUUAUAAAGACCAUUGGGAGUUUUGACGCUGGCGACGCGAACUAUCCCAUCCUUGCCAGGAAAGACCUCUUGAACGACCCCUAAUGGCCAAUGCAACGGUGGGGUGUUAUCCGUCCGCAAAACUACGACCGUACCGACCUUUAUUGGAGAAGAUGGCUUAUUCCAUUUUUGACGAACUUGCAAAUUAUGUAGAUAUUCCACGUGCCAUCGUUUCCAAUACGUUUGCAAAAUUUGAUCGAGCAGUUCUUUUCGGGUUACUAAAUUAGUCGACAUGUCUAAAUUUUGAAUUGGUAGCGAUUGAAGGGGCGUCCCUGUCAAAAAAUGAGCAGGCGUCAAAGCUAACGGCUCGUUAGGAUCCGAGCUGAGCGUACACAAUGGUCGAGAAUUUAAUAAAGCCUCUAUUUGAGUAAUAACCGUCGUAAAUUCUUCAUAAGUCAAAAUUUGGGUGCCAAUAACUUUAGUUAAAUGAGACUUCACACUUUUAAUGUUUGCCUCCCAGAUUCCUCCAAAGUGAGGUGCUGCUGGAGGAUUAAAUUUCCAUACUACAUUUCGUUUUAUCAAUUCAUCAUCAAUACUAGAAUGAUACUCUUGUGAGGUCACAAAUUUUGACAAAUCGUCUAGGGCAGUUUUAGCUCCAAUAAAAUUUGUACCACAAUCGGAAUACAAAACCGAGCAUGGACCACGACGGGAUAAAAAACGUUUAAAGGCAUUAAUAAAAGUCGCAGUGGAUAGGUCAGAAGCCACUUCUAGAUGUAAGGCUUUGGUAACUAAACAAAUAAAUAAGCAUAAAUAAGCUUUCUGGCUUUUUACACCUCUACGACGAGUCAGAGUGAUAUAGAAAGGUCCGGCAUAAUCUACACCACUGUGCAAAAAUGGUUUCGCUUCUGUAAUUCUAGGAGCGGGCAAAUCCGCCAUACAUGGGAAAGUUGCGCGAGGACGAAAUUUAAAGCAAUAAUUACAGUUGCGAAUGCGAUGUCUAACAACAUUUCGUGCAGCUAGAAUCCAAAAUUUCUGACGCAACAACGACAGUGUAAGAUGCGGACCAGUAUGUAAAUUACGUUGGUGAAAAUAGUCUAUUAAGAGAUCCACCAAGUGGUCUUUUUUGGGCAGCAAAAACGGAUGCUGCUGAUCAUAUUCUAAAUUUGAGUUUGAUAGACGUCCUCCUACUCUAAUAACUCCAUCUUUAAGAAACGGACAUAAGGAACGAAUUUUAGGCGAACAAGGUUUAUUUUGCUCUAACAAAGCUAAAUCUGAAGCAAAAUGUUCUCUUUGGACAAGUCUAACUAGCGUUAAUUCAGCGGUUUCUAAGUCUUUGAGUGUAAUAGGAUUUCCUUUUGGCAAUAACUUAAGAAAUCUGAGAACAUAUACAACUGCAUUGCGCAAUUUACUAUACGAAGACGAUCUAUCUAUAAGUUGUCGUAAAGGGUUGACACAACGUGAGAAAGUGACGAGAACUAUCGGUUUCUCUUCGAGUGGAGGUUCGUCUGUAUUAGUUGAAGAGUUAAUAGGCCAUAACUGUUCGUCCAUAAAUAACCAACUAGGACCAGUUAGCCAAAUCGGGUGGUUUAAAAGGUGCGCCGGUGUUAGACCCCUAGAAAUUGGGUCGGCUGGGUUUUCCUUCCCAUCGACAUGAUACCAAUUAACCGACGGCACUAAUUCUUGAAUUUUUGCCACGCGAUUUGCUACAAAAGUGUGCCAACGAUGAGGAGAUGCGUUUAUCCAGUUAAGUACGACCGAAGAAUCAGUCAGAGCAACAAUGUUUUCUAUAAUUAAUCGCGAUUGGAAAGUGCUUUCUACAAAAUGGAUCAGUCUAGCUAAAAGAAGCGCAGCACAAAGCUCUAAUCUGGGUAUCGAAAGUGACUUUAACGGAGCAACUUUUGAUCUAGCACAAAUGAUUCUAACAGUAGGUACCUUUUCUGGAACUUUUACAUACACUACCGCUCCAUAACCCUUUUCUGAUGCGUCUGCAAAUCCAACAAUUGUCACAGGUAAAUUACUACAAGUUCCUAAAUGACGCGGAAUUUCAAAGUUUUCCAAAAGAUGCAACUCUCCUUUUAAAAGACUCCAAAUUUUUUGUAUAUCAGCCGAUACAGGAUCGUCCCAACCAAGUUUUUGAACCCAAAUUUCCCGAAUCAAUAAUUUUGCAUAUAAGGUAACGGGAGCCAACAAUCCUAAAGGAUCCCAAAUGCGAGCAAUUAUUGACAAAAUAUUCCGUUUCGUACAUUCUAUGUCAGGAACACUAAUUUUAAAACCAAGCAAGUCGGUUUGCGGAUGCCACUGAAAACCUAAGACCUUCAAGGAAUCAUUGCUAAAUUCAACGGGCUGAAAGCAGCGUUCCGAUUCUAAAAUUUCUGACAAUAAUUCAUUAGAGUUUGUUGUCCAUUUGGUUAAGCUAAACCCCCCGGCCCUAAACAAACCAAUUAAAUCGCGAUACAACGCAAUAGCUUCUUCACUGGUAGGAACACUAGUUACAACAUCGUCCAUAUUCGUCCGAGGCAAGUUGCUUAACUGUACGAAGAGCUAAAAAUGGCGAGGCUUUGACUCCAAAAGAGACUACAUUGAUUUCGUAUGUUUGGAGAGGUUCAUUAAUCGAAAAUCGCCAGAGAAUUCUUUGAAAGCAUCGAUGAUCGGGAUUAAGCCAAAUUUGUCUAUACAUCUGACGUACGUCAGCGGUCAUGGCUACAGCAAAUAGUCUAAAAUUCAGUAGCAAAGAAACUAUAUCGGUUUGUAAUUUUUCACCAGUAUAUAAAACAUCGUUCAAAGAAA
Molecule: long non-coding RNA, 4145 nt
Organism: Tribolium castaneum (red flour beetle)
Lineage: Eukaryota; Metazoa; Arthropoda; Insecta; Coleoptera; Tenebrionidae
Exons: 2
Source: RefSeq, a predicted model, not a curated record